CAGCACCUCAAGUGGUCAGGAUGAUUAUUGGGCCUAAAGCAUCCGUAGCCGGCGCUGUAAGUUUUCGGUUAAAUCUGUACGCUCAACGUACAGGCUGCCGGGAAUACUGCAGCGCUAGGGAGUGGGAGAGGUAGACGGUACUCGGUAGGAAGGGGUAAAAUCCUUUGAUCUAUUGAUGACCACCUGUGGCGAAGGCGGUCUACCAGAACACGUCCGACGGUGAGGGAUGAAAGCUGGGGGAGCAAACCGGAUUAGAUACCCGAGUAGCC
This 269-nucleotide ribosomal RNA is filed under the name uncultured archaeon. RNAcentral describes it as "partial 16S ribosomal RNA". It matches the Rfam family "Archaeal small subunit ribosomal RNA", at positions 477 to 746 of the family's 1478-position model. The record is from RNAcentral.